AGGCUAAUGUCCUGAAUCCCUAUUCCAAAAUACAAACCCUCAAACCCCCCGCCUCCCUCUUCAACGUAACACACGCAUACACCCACGGAAACGCAGAGAGAGAAAGGGAAAACGGAGAAGGGAAGAGAGGGGAGAGGAAGGAGAUGGCGCUGGCGGGACAGGCAGCCGCCGUCACCGUCGAUGCUCGCAAGGAAGAGAGGGAGAAUGAGGGCGAUCGAGCUGAGGAGAAGCUGAGAGUGAGAAGACGCAAAGAGGAGGAGCCGUCCCGCACCGCCAUUGCGUCGCCGGCACUGUCACGCGAUAGCGGAGAAAGCCGUCGCCGUCACCGCUGGUAUGGUCGGAGUCGCAUUCGUCGAUUGAAGGUGCCGCCGUCGUAGUGGAAGAAGCCCAGAGAGAGAGAUGAAGAAGGCCCGAAGAGAGUGAGCGUCGCUGCCACCGCCAUUGGAGAUGAACCCAGUUGUUCUCUUGCUGCCGGAGGUAUUGUUGUCACUGCUCUGGCUCAAUUUUGUAUCGUUACCGUAGCUGUUUGGCUGUUGCUGAGGUUUCCUACCAUCACUGGAGCUGCCGGAGAACCACCGUGGUUGUUGCCUAGGAAACGGAACGAGUGUGGGGUUUCCUUCCCUGUUCUUCAAACAGAAUGUGCUGAGGAGAUGUAGUAGCCUGCUGCUGUCAGAAAGGUGAGAACCCUGUAGAGGAAGCCAAGAAAAGCAACCAUGUGCAGAGAAAAAUCAAGAAACGCCAGAAAGAUCGUAAGCUUGAUCCUCAUGUUGAAGAGCAGUUGUGGUGGGAGAUUGCUGGCUUGCAUUGCUUCUCGACCUGAUCAAUGUGGCAGGGAUAACGGCUAUAUUUUGGAAGGUAAAGAGCUUGAAUUUUAUAUGUAGAAAAUCCAGAAGAAUGGAAAGGGUGCUGCCUCUAUUCUCAUACUUGUAUUUUGGAUGGGAUGGAAUAGGUCUUAUAAUGACUUUAGUUAUCUACAUGUAAUAUUUUGAUGUGUUGUGUACUUUUUGAAAAGAGAUUUUAUCUGGUAUUACAUGUAAUGGACAAAUUACACUCUAUUUUGAUUUGUGUUGUUUAGAUUAAAAAUAUAUCUAGCUUAUAAUGAAACUCUUAUGAUUUAAAUUUCUUGAA
Molecule: non-coding RNA, 1128 nt
Organism: Arachis ipaensis
Lineage: Eukaryota; Viridiplantae; Streptophyta; Magnoliopsida; Fabales; Fabaceae
Source: RefSeq, a predicted model, not a curated record